CCCAGGACUGGAGUCUGACACCUGUGGUGUAAAGCUUGAGAGACUGCUGUCACAUGCACAGGUGGACCGGUUCCAGCCAUGAAGCCCUAACCUUGCACCACUAGCAGUGGAAUCUUCAAGAGCCAGCUGGCUUUAUUCUGAGGCAAUCAAAACCACUGCAAUUGAUGUCAGAAUGACUGAGCUCCCCAGACAAUCUCAUGGCCUUACCAAAAGAGCCGCCUGCACUCUGUGUCUCUGUCUGCUCCCUCUCCCCUGCAUUCACCCUCCUCCUGGUAUCAAAACCAAUCGUCCCCUCAUUUAGGUAGUUUGUGGACAAUACACCGACUGACCUGCUGAGUGACAGUGAUUUAAAGGAGCCUGAGGUAAACAAUGGACCCGAUGAGUCAUCCACCAUGUG
This is a long non-coding RNA of Paramormyrops kingsleyae, 397 nucleotides long. RefSeq lists it as uncharacterized. Lineage: Eukaryota; Metazoa; Chordata; Actinopteri; Osteoglossiformes; Mormyridae. The record is from RefSeq and is a predicted model, not a curated record.